AUGUCCUUUAGAAUUUAAUUUAAGGUCUAACCUGCCCACUGAUAAAAAUUAAAUGGCCGCAGUAUUUUAACUGUGCAAAGGUAGCAUAAUCAUUAGUCUUUUAAUUGAAGGCUUGUAUGAAUGGUUGGACGAAAUAUUAACUGUUUCAUAAAAAUUUAUUUAGAAUUUUAUUUUUUAGUUAAAAAGCUAAAAUUUUUUUAAAAGACGAGAAGACCCUAUAGAUCUUUAUAAUUUAUUUAUUAUAGUUAUAUAGAUGAUUUAAAUUAUGAUUUUAUAUAUUAUUUUGUUGGGGUGACAUUAAAAUUUAAUAAACUUUUAAUAAAUUUUUACAUUAAUUUAUGAGUAAUUGAUCCAUUAUUAGUGAUUAUAAAAUUAAGUUACCUUAGGGAUAACAGCGUAAUUUUUUUGAAGAGUUCAUAUCGAUAAAAAAGAUUGCGACCUCGAUGUUGGAUUAAGAUAUAAUUUUGGGUGCAGCAAUUCAAUAAUUAAGUCUGUUCGACUUUUAAUUUCUUACAUGA
RNAcentral lists this ribosomal RNA (518 nucleotides) under Therevidae gen. P sp. 'barakula'. Its description in RNAcentral is "partial 16S ribosomal RNA". The stretch from base 388 to 518 matches the Rfam family "Bacterial large subunit ribosomal RNA", at positions 2473 to 2603 of the family's 2925-position model. Lineage: Eukaryota; Metazoa; Arthropoda; Insecta; Diptera; Therevidae. The record is from RNAcentral.